UACGUAGGGUGCGAGCGUUAAUCGGAAUUACUGGGCGUAAAGCGUGCGCAGGCUGUUUUGUAAGUCAGAUGUGAAAUCCCUGGGCUCAACCUAGGAACUGCGUUUGAAACUACAAGGCUAGAGUGUAGCAGAGGGGGGUAGAAUUCCACGUGUAGCAGUGAAAUGCGUAGAGAUGUGGAGGAACACCGAUGGCGAAGGCAGCCCCCUGGGUCAAGAUUGACGCUCAUGCACGAAAGCGUGGGGAGCAAACAGG
RNAcentral lists this ribosomal RNA (253 nucleotides) under uncultured bacterium. RNAcentral's name for it is "partial 16S ribosomal RNA". It matches the Rfam family "Bacterial small subunit ribosomal RNA", at positions 524 to 776 of the family's 1533-position model. The record is from RNAcentral.